ACGGAAGGCAGCAGUGAGGAAUAUUGGUCAAUGGGCGGAAGCCUGAACCAGCCAAGUCGCGUGAAGGAUGAAGGUAUUAUGUAUUGUAAACUUCUUUAGCAGCAGAGUAAUAAGGGGGUCGUGACCCCCGAUGCAAGUAUGCUGAAAAUAAGGAUCGGCUAACUCCGUGCCAGCAGCCGCGGUAAUACGGAGGCUCCGAGCGUUAUCCGGAUUUAUUGGGUUUAAAGGGUGCGCAGGCGGUUUUUUAAGUCAGUGGUUAAAUCGUGAGGCUCAACCUCAUCACGCCAUUGAUACUGGAAGACUUGAUUGCGGUUGAGGUUGGCGGAAUUCGUCGUGUAGCGGUGAAAUGCAUAGAUAUGACGAAGAACACCGAUUGCGUAGGCAGCUGACCAAGCCGUAAAUGACGCUCAUGCACGAAAGUGCGGGGAUCGAACAGGAUUAGAUACCCUGGUA
Molecule: ribosomal RNA, 453 nt
Filed under: uncultured Porphyromonadaceae bacterium
Lineage: Bacteria; Pseudomonadati; Bacteroidota; Bacteroidia; Bacteroidales; Porphyromonadaceae
Description: partial 16S ribosomal RNA
Rfam family: Bacterial small subunit ribosomal RNA
Source: RNAcentral